CUUAGAGUUUGAUCCUGGCUCAGGAUGAACGCUGGCGGCGUGCUUAACACAUGCAAGUCGAACGGGCCAUAUUCGUAUGGUCAGUGGCAGACGGGUGCGUAACACGUGGGUGACCUGCCCUUGAGUGGGGAACAACUCCGCUAACGCGGAGCUAAUACCGCAUACGUUCGCUUCUUCGGUGGGGCGAGUAAAGCAGCAAUGCGCUUAGGGAUGGGCCUGCGGCGGAUUAGGUAGUUGGUGGGGUAAGGGCCUACCAAGCCGAUGAUCCGUAGGGGGCGUGAGAGCGUGGCCCCCCACAUUGGCACUGAGACACGGGCCAAACUCCUACGGGAGGCAGCAGUGAGGAAUAUUGCGCAAUGGGCGAAAGCCUGACGCAGCAACGCCGCGUGGGGGACGAAGGCCUUCGGGUCGUAAACCUCUUUUCUGGGGGAAGAGCAAGGACGGUACCUCAGGAAUAAGUCUCGGCUAACUACGUGCCAGCAGCCGCGGUAAAACGUAGGAGGCGAGCGUUAUCCGGAUUUACUGGGCGUAAAGCGCACGCAGGUGGCUUCGUAAGUCGGACAUGAAAGCUCCUGGCUUAACUGGGAGAGGUUGUUCGAUACUGCGGGGCUUGAGGUUGGGAGAGGGACGUGGAAUUCUCGGUGUAGUGGUGGAAUGCGUAGAUAUCGGGAGGAACACCAGUGGCGCAAGCGGCGUCCUGGCUCACACCUGACGCUGAGGUGCGAAAGCGUGGGGAGCAAACAGGAUUAGAUACUCCUGAUAGUCCACGCUGUAAACGAUGUCAACUGGGUGUCGGUAGUUUUACACUAGCGGUGCCGAAGCUAACGCGUUAAGUUGACCGUCUGGGGACUACGGCCGCAAGGCUAAACUCAAAGGAAUG
Molecule: ribosomal RNA, 880 nt
Filed under: uncultured bacterium
Lineage: Bacteria
Description: bacterial SSU rRNA
Rfam family: Bacterial small subunit ribosomal RNA
Source: RNAcentral